UAGUUAGUUGAUGUAGACCCGAAACCAAGUGACCUACCCAUGACCAGGUUGAAGGUGCGGUAAAGCGCACUGGAGGACCGAACCCACGUAAGUUAAAAAUUGCGGGGAUGAGUUGUGGGUAGCGGUGAAAUUCCAAACGAACUUGGAGAUAGCUGGUUCUCUCCGAAAUAGCUUUAGGGCUAGCCUGGUGCUAGAAAGAUCAUGGAGGUAGAGCUCUGUUUGGACGAAGGGCCCGUCAGGGGUUACUGAAUUCAGAUAAACUGCGAAUUCCAUAGAUCAAGGCACUGGAGUCAGACUGCGAGUGAUAAGAUCCGUAGUCGAAAGGGAAACAGCCCAGAUCACCAGUUAAGGUCCCCAAAUCUAUGCUAAGUGGAAAAGGAUGUGGAGUUGCGUAGACAACUAGGAUGUUGGCUCAGAAGCAGCCAUCAUUAAAAGAGUGCGUAAUAGCUCACUAGUCGAGUGACGCUGCGCCGAAAAUUUACCGGGGCUAAGCAUAGUACCGAAACUGUGGAUGUGCAGUAAUGCACGUGGUAGGAGAGCGUUCUAAAUGCGGCGAAGUUUAACUGCGAAGAUAAAUGGAGCGUUUAGAAGUGAGAAUGCCGGUAUGAGUAGCGCAAGAUAGGUGAGAAUCCUAUCCGCCGAAAGACUAAGGUUUCCUGGGGCAGGCUCGUCCGCCCAGGGUAAGUCGGGACCUAAGGCAAGGCCGAAAGGCGUAGUCGAUGGAGAACAGGUAGAGAUUCCUGUACUGCUUAUCUUCGUUAACAGCGAAGGAGGGACGCAGGAGGCAAAGAACGCAUGGCGCUGGAAGCCAUGUUUAAGCGUCAAGUGUGGUAAUGAGUCAAAUGCUUGUUACUGGUAAGCACAAGGCGUGAUGAGGAGCGAAAUUAGAGUAGCGAAGGUUCAAGCGUCACACUGCCAAGAAAAGCUUCUAGUGAGAAGAUAGGUACCCGUACCGCAAACCGACACAGGUAGUCGAGUGGAGCACACUCAGGUGAGCGAGAGAACUCUCGUUAAGGAACUCGGCAAAAUCGCCCCGUAACUUCGGGAGAAGGGGUGCUGGUGUAAAAGCCAGCCGCAGUGAAUAGGCCCAAACAACUGUUUAUCAAAAACACAGGUCUCUGCUAAGUCGUAAGACGACGUAUAGGGGCUGACACCUGCCCGGUGCUGGAAGGUUAAGGAGAGCUGUUAGCGCAAGCGAAGCAGCGAACUGAAGCCCCAGUAAACGGCGGCCGUAACUAUAACGGUCCUAAGGUAGCGAAAUUCCUUGUCGGGUAAGUUCCGACCUGCACGAAAGGUGUAAUGAUUUGGGCACUGUCUCAACGAGAGACUCGGUGAAAUUAUAAUACCCGUGAAGAUGCGGGUUACCCGCGACAGGACGGAAAGACCCCAUGGAGCUUUACUGCAAUUUGAUAUUGGGCAGCUGUUAAACAUGUACAGGAUAGGUAGGAGCCGGAGAAGAUAGCACGCCAGUGUUAUCAGAGGCAAUGUUGGGAUACUACCCUUGUUUGAUGGCUGCUCUAACCAGGGCCUCUAAGCGAGGCAUGGGACAGUGUCAGACGGGCAGUUUGACUGGGGCGGUCGCCUCCUAAAGUGUAACGGAGGCGCCCAAAGGUUCCCUCAGAAUGGUUGGAAAUCAUUCACAGAGUGCAAAGGUAUAAGGGAGCUUGACUGCGAGAGCGACAACUCGAGCAGGGACGAAAGUCGGGCUUAGUGAUCUGGUGGUACCGUAUGGAAGGGCCAUCACUCAACGGAUAAAAGCUACCCUGGGGAUAACAGGCUUAUCUCCCCCAAGAGUUCACAUCGACGGGGAGGUUUGGCACCUCGAUGUCGGCUCGUCGCAUCCUGGGGCUGAAGUCGGUCCCAAGGGUUGGGCUGUUCGCCCAUUAAAGCGGCACGCGAGCUGGGUUCAGAACGUCGUGAGACAGUUCGGUCCCUAUCCGUCGUGGGCGUAGGAAAUUUGCGAGGAGCUGUCCUUAGUACGAGAGGACCGGGAUGGACAUACCGCUGGUGUACCAGUUGUCUUGCCAAAGGCAUCGCUGGGUAGCUAAGUAUGGCCGGGAUAAGCGCUGAAAGCAUCUAAGUGCGAAGCCCCCCUCAAGAUGAGAUUUCCCAUACGUAAGUAGUAAGACACCUCAAAGACUAAGAGGUAGAUAGGCUGGGAGUGGAAGAGCCGUGAGGCUUGGAGCGGACCAGUACUAAUCAGUCGAGGACUUGACCAAA
RNAcentral lists this ribosomal RNA (2220 nucleotides) under Lactobacillus sp. ESL0260. RNAcentral's name for it is "bacterial LSU rRNA". It matches the Rfam family "Bacterial large subunit ribosomal RNA", at positions 697 to 2925 of the family's 2925-position model. Lineage: Bacteria; Bacillati; Bacillota; Bacilli; Lactobacillales; Lactobacillaceae. The record is from RNAcentral.